RNAcentral lists this ribosomal RNA (323 nucleotides) under uncultured bacterium. Its description in RNAcentral is "bacterial SSU rRNA". It matches the Rfam family "Bacterial small subunit ribosomal RNA", at positions 28 to 334 of the family's 1533-position model. The record is from RNAcentral.
GAUGAACGCUGGCGGCAUGCCUAACACAUGCAAGUCGAACGAGCUUUGUUUUUCAGAUUCUUCGGAUGACGAAGUUCAAAGCGAGUGGCGGACGGGUGAGUAACGCGUGAGGAACCUGCCUCAUUCCGGGGGAUACCAGUUGGAAACGACUGUUAAUACCGCAUAAGCGCACAGCGCCACAUGGCGCGGUGUGAAAAACUCCGGUGGAAUGAGAUGGCCUCGCGUCUGAUUAGCUUGUUGGCGGGGCAACGGCCCACCAAGGCGACGAUCAGUAGCCGGCCUGAGAGGGUGAACGGCCACAUUGGGACUGAGACACGGCCCAG